This 391-nucleotide ribosomal RNA is filed under the name uncultured bacterium. RNAcentral describes it as "bacterial SSU rRNA". It matches the Rfam family "Bacterial small subunit ribosomal RNA", at positions 29 to 416 of the family's 1533-position model. The record is from RNAcentral.
AUUGAACGCUGGCGGAAUGCUUUACACAUGCAAGUCGAGCGGCAGCGCGGGGGCGAACCCUGGCGGCGAGCGGCGAACGGGUGAGUAACAUAUCGGAACGUACCCAGUCGUGGGGGAGUAACUAUCCGAAAGGAUAGCUAAUACCGCAUACGUCCUGAGGGAGAAAGCGGGGGAGUCGCAAGACCUCGCGCGAUUGGAGCGGCCGAUAUCGGAUUAGCUAGUUGGUGGGGUAAAGGCUCACCAAGGCGACGAUCCGUAGCGGGUCGUGAGAGGACGACCCGCCACACUGGAACUGAGACACGGUCCAGACUCCUACGGGAGGCAGCAGUGGGGAAUUUUGGACAAUGGGGGCGAACCCUGAUCCAGCCAUUCCGCGUGAGUGAAGAAGGCC